UACGUAGGGGGCGAGCGUUGUCCGGAGUACUGGGCGUAAAGCGUGCGCAGGCGGUUAUGUAAGACAGUUGUGAAAUCCCCGGGCUCAACCUGGGAACUGCAUCUGUGACUGCAUAGCUAGAGUACGGUAGAGGGGGAUGGAAUUCCGCGUGUAGCAGUGAAAUGCGUAGAUAUGCGGAGGAACACCGAUGGCGAAGGCAAUCCCCUGGACCUGUACUGACGCUCAUGCACGAAAGCGUGGGGAGCAAACAGG
Molecule: ribosomal RNA, 252 nt
Filed under: uncultured bacterium
Lineage: Bacteria
Description: partial 16S ribosomal RNA
Rfam family: Bacterial small subunit ribosomal RNA
Source: RNAcentral